AGCAGCCGCGGUAAUUCCAGCUCCAAUAGCGUAUAUUAAAGUUGUUGCAGUUAAAAAGCUCGUAGUUGAAUUUCGGGAUCAAUAUGUCGGUCGUGCUUUUUGGUACGUACUGGCGUCAUUGGUUUCUCCUUUCUGACGAGCCAUGAUGUCAUUAAUUUGGUGUUAUGGGGAGUUAGGACUGUUACUUUGAAAAAAUUAGAGUGUUUAAAGCAGGCAUUAGCUUGAAUACAUUAGCAUGGAAUAAUGAAAUAGGACGUUCGAUCCUAUUUUGUUGGUUUCUAGGAUCAACGUAAUGAUUAAUAGGGAUAGUUGGGGGCAUUAGUAUUCAAUUGUCAGAGGUGAAAUUCUUGGAUUUAUUGAAGACUAACUACUGCGAAAGCAUUUGCCAAGGAUGUUUUCAUUAAUCAAGAACGAAAGUUAGGGGAUCGAAGACGAUCAGAUACCGUCGUAGUCUUAACCAUAAACUAUGCCGACUAGGGAUCGGAUGAUGUUAAUUUUUAAUGACUCAUUCGGCGCCUUA
Molecule: ribosomal RNA, 520 nt
Filed under: uncultured Glomus
Lineage: Eukaryota; Fungi; Glomeromycota; Glomeromycetes; Glomerales; Glomeraceae
Description: SSU rRNA
Rfam family: Eukaryotic small subunit ribosomal RNA
Source: RNAcentral